ACCAGACUCCUACGGGAGGCAGCAGUGGGGGAUAUUGCACAAUGGGGGGAACCCUGAUGCAGCGACGCCGCGUGGGUGAAGAAGCGCCUCGGCGCGUAAAGCCCUGUCAGCAGGGAAGAAAAUGACGGUACCUGAAGAAGAAGCCCCGGCUAACUACGUGCCAGCAGCCGCGGUAAUACGUAGGGGGCAAGCGUUAUCCGGAUUUACUGGGUGUAAAGGGGGCGCAGACGGCGAUGCAAGCCAGGAGUGAAAGCCCGGGGCCCAACCCCGGGACUGCUCUUGGAACUGCGUGGCUGGAGUGCAGGAGGGGCAGGCGGAAUUCCUGGUGUAGCGGUGAAAUGCGUAGAUAUCAGGAGGAACACCGGUGGCGAAGGCGGCCUGCUGGACCGUGACUGACGUUGAGGCUCGAGAGCGUGGGGAGCAAACAGGAUUAGAUACCCGUGUA
RNAcentral lists this ribosomal RNA (445 nucleotides) under uncultured bacterium. RNAcentral's name for it is "bacterial SSU rRNA". It matches the Rfam family "Bacterial small subunit ribosomal RNA", at positions 330 to 792 of the family's 1533-position model. The record is from RNAcentral.